UACGGAGGGUGCAAGCGUUGUCCGGAAUCACUGGGCGUAAAGGGCGCGUAGGCGGCUCAUGAAGGCUGUGGUGAAAGUCCGGGGCUCAACCCCGGGUCGGCAGUGGAUACGGGCAGGCUAGAGGUAGGUAGGGGAGAAUGGAAUUCCCGGUGUAGCGGUGAAAUGCGCAGAUAUCGGGAGGAACACCGGUGGCGAAGGCGGUUCUCUGGGCCUUACCUGACGCUGAGGAGCGAAAGCGUGGGGAGCGAACAGG
RNAcentral lists this ribosomal RNA (253 nucleotides) under uncultured bacterium. RNAcentral's name for it is "partial 16S ribosomal RNA". It matches the Rfam family "Bacterial small subunit ribosomal RNA", at positions 524 to 776 of the family's 1533-position model. The record is from RNAcentral.